UUUCCGCAUAAUAUAUUAUUGUAGUCAUCAUUUAAAGAGUUUCCACAAGCUAAGAAAGAUUAAUCAUUUGCCAUUUACCAGGAAAACAGUAAGUAGCUAUCUAUGAAUUCUUUACAAUUAGCGAAGAACUUGACUCUAUAAUAGCUCCUUUUCAGGUUCCAUGUUCCAUCAAAUUCACAAUUAUCGCCCAACGACAACAAACAGAUGAACUAAACCAGUAAGGGCUGCCACGACUCUCAAACUUUUCAUCUCUUUUCUCCUCAAGGUCAUACCAAAUAACGGUCUCACAAUCUUGCGUCUAAAAAGAUAUUGGAACAAUAAUUUUAUAUUUAUUAUAUUAAAACAAAUUAAGUUACAAGAUUUCAAAUUAUAAUUUUAUUUUUGAAUAUAUUACUUCCCGCACUGCUCACAUAAUCCAAUGAACAUACAUACACAGGACAAACACCAUUUUUCUUCAUAUUUUGGCAAUUGGCAUAUAUCCAUGCUAUGCCAUUGCAAGAAAAAGUUUAAUUAAUCAACCAGAGACUUCAAUGGCCUUCACAUCAGGUUUCUUCACUUCCUCCUUAGGAAUAGUCACUGUAAGAACCCCAUUCUCCAUGGAGGCCUUCACUUCAUUCAUCUUUGCAUUUUCCGGCAGCCUGAACCUCCUCAAG
RNAcentral lists this unclassified non-coding RNA (653 nucleotides) under Hevea brasiliensis (rubber tree). Lineage: Eukaryota; Viridiplantae; Streptophyta; Magnoliopsida; Malpighiales; Euphorbiaceae. The record is from RNAcentral.